Megachile rotundata (alfalfa leafcutting bee) is the source of this 4122-nucleotide long non-coding RNA. The record is from RefSeq and is a predicted model, not a curated record. Lineage: Eukaryota; Metazoa; Arthropoda; Insecta; Hymenoptera; Megachilidae.
UGCAAUAAAGGGAGUAUUGUGCGGAAUAAGAGCGGAUCAGGCAUUAUCAAUCAUUCGAAGCGUGCAAUUAGAAGAGGACAAGCCUUUCCUCGGUUCUGCGCGCGGCACAUGGUCGCAAUUUACUUUGUUCCAGCCUUUUGCGAGGAUUGUUGGAAGCGUGUAAACGCAUACCACCAUCCAUUCUUCUCUUUGUCAUUUUCCUUUCCACAAGAAGAAAUGGCGCGAGUGACGUUGCCUACAAUGUCGUCGAGUGAUCGUUGCCAAGCGGUCGCGUUUCAAAAUUAUUCCCAACUACGCAGUCUCAUCCGAGUAGAACUAACUGAUUUAAAGACGCAGAGGGUGAUCGUUAUUAACGAAACAUAGUCGGUUCGCGGGUUGCUUCCAGUAUGACUCUCCGUUUCUCUUGCGGCCACCUCUCACUCCAAAGAUUUACGAGCAACCAGCUCUACUUCGAGAAGAAACUCUUGAGCGGAACAGGUGAACCCUGCUUGCGAACAGCCUGCUUAUUUGACGGGCGUGUACAGUUUAAGACUUGAUUUGUGCCAGUUAGUUGUGAUUAGUACCGACAGUGAGCGUGAUGCGCUGUUUAUUCUCAUACGAUCUUUCGGCCAUCACUUUUGACCCGGUUAUGGACAUAUGACGAACGAGUGCUGGAAGAUUGGUCGUGUAAUGUCGUUUGUUAACGGCGAUUCGGAGAGGCAGGUGUUGUGAUGUGUUGGGAGGAUGUCGACAAACAUCGACGUGUUGAUGGACAAAACACGCGAAUUCAUCCUGCCACAUAAUAGUCUAAUAUCUGCCAAGAAAAGCGAAGGAUAAACGACGUUUAGGAAUCGUAAAUCAGUGAUACUGGUCACACAGACGCUUCAACGAGAGAAUUACUAUAGAACUAUUAAAAAUUUCCAUUUGACGAAACGAUGUCAUAGUGUUGAACGUUUUAACGAUUUAAGGGACAACCUCGAGUUAUGUGGAUUUAACGAGUUUGUUUGAGGAUGAUAUACGACUUGUUACGCGCCAUUUGAUCUCUUUUGUUAGGUGGGUACACUGCGAUAUUAUUGUCAGCUGUUUGAUGAUCACAAAAGGUGCCAUCUUUGAUAAAUGUAUUGAUAUUUUAUUGAAUGUUACUUGUGGACAUCUUAUACGAUUUUUUAUUUUUUUAUUUUGACAAGAACAAUGCAGUAUUAAUUUUUUGAAUCACCAAAUUUUUCUGCUGGAAGAGUUGCAAAAAUGUCGAACAUGUCUUCCAUAUUUUUAUUUUAUGCAAUAGUUGAUUACAGCACAAGUAACCGUGCUAACGUAUCAAAAUCUCAAACUUCCAAAAACCUAAAUUGCAAAAGAUAAAAAAUCUCAAGUUACAAAAAACCUAAAACCCCAACGUGAAACACUAAAGUUCUGAACCGUAACCUAAACCGUAAUCUGAAACAUAACCUCAAUCUUACCGAUCGGAAGCAGAGAAGUAAAAUGCCAAAUCAGUACAAAGAAAGCAGAAAGAGAAACGGCAGUUAAAAUCGUUCAGUUACAAGAAUCGCGUGUAGCGAGUAGAAUGCACGUACUGUAACAAGAAGAAGGUAGAAAUUUAAAGGUACAACGAGAGGGCGAGACAUUUGAUCUACACAAUGUUUGGAAAUGAUCCUCGGCGAGCCUCGGAACAUGGUUGCAGCGCACCUAUUUUUGUAGAACAAGAUUCUGUGCUUAACACGUCGGGUAGGAAAUAGCCUGGGGAAUUGCUCAAACAAACGAUUCGUUUGUCGGGGAACAAAACGGAGUUACUUAAAUCGAGGAAACUAAGGGUUUCGUGUUUGGAGCGCGUUUAAACGGGAACGAAAAAUGGCCGACCAGAACCAUCUGCUCUCUUCAAGGUUCCUGAAAUUCGAUCAUUUAUUUUUAUAUUCUUAAAAAAUAGAUAUUUUGUGUAUGUGGUUACAUUGUGAUGCGUUAAACGAUACGCUAUUUCGUUUGUUUCGAAUAAAUCGAGCAGACAAGUCGUUAACGGAAGAUCACAACGGGCCAUUUUGAAGGCAGACUCAAGUGCUAUCAAAACGACGGAGACCGAUGCAACCAGAUCGAAAAUUAAUGUUCAUCUUAAAAGCUUCACCUCGAACGGUCAGUGAGAAAUACACUUCAACAAUUCACGAUAAACCCGGGCACGAAAUCGACAGAAGGUCGAUGUAACAGCACCGUCGCUCGUAAAACAGCGGAAUCAAAGAAGCGGCGAUUUACGAGUGGCUAAAAUUGUAGGAAACCAUGUACCAUUGGUUCUGUGAAAUCUACGCUUGUAUCGCUUUUGUGAAUAUGAUGUCAAGAUAGUUUUCGGAGGGCUUUCGAGAAGUGCUUUUCCCUCAGCUUUCUACGUUAAUUUCCAGUAGAAAUAGAGCAUCACGCGGCCUCAGAAGCGGAGAACAAAUUUAACGCCAGACAGAAAGCUGGACUCAAAUUACGAUUGCGGCAUAAGGAAAAAGCACGAAGAAAAUGUUUCAGAGGUCCUCCAGCAAAUUACGCGGAAGUAGCCAGGGAAUGUGUCGAAAGUACGUGUCGCUCCAACGAGAAAUCCUGCGCGCAGUUAUUUCCGUCUAUGUGGCCCCGGCAUCCCCGUCCAAACACCCUCGCUGUAAGUCGCUGCAACACGUUCUACCAUAAGGGCUCUCAUAAAUAUCAUAAGAUGCCUUUGGCUACGGUUGUCAACGCUGCACGGCCUCCAUUUUCGGUCUGGAACUGUGGAGAGUACUUGGAGAUUAGUUUGAUUGAAUACUAUCGUUAGAUCGAUGGAGAAAAUGGAGACUGUACUUGGAUCGAUCGGAAGUAUCGAAAGAAAAUUAUACGGAAAAUUGGAUAAAAUAUUUGUUGACCAUGUAAGAUCAUUUUGGAAAGGUAUCUCUGUGAUUAUAUGUAUAGAAAUAUAGAUUUGUAAUCAUUUUCUGAGUUGAAGUAAUUAUGAAGGAUUAUUGUAACUUGGUUGUCUUACUGCAACACGGUCAUCUUCAUUUUUUAACAUUUUUGGGUUAGGAAGUAUUUUAGAGAUUAAAAGAAAUUGUUUGUUGGAAAUUUGCUACUUUAGUAAUUAUGUAGAGAUGUAGCUUUAUAAUCAUCUUCUAAAUGCUAAUAACUGAAGACUAUGAAGGGUAGUUGUACACCUUGGUACUCUAAUGGCCAUCUUCUUUUUCUAGCAUUUUUAUGUUAGCAAGUAUUUUAGUGAUUAAGAAAAAUUGUUCAUUGCAAAUGUAUUACUUUAGUAGUUAUUUAGAGGUACAGCUCUGUAAUCAUCUUCUAAAUGCUAAUAAGUGAACAUUAUAAAAGAUAAUUAUACACCUUGAUACUAGAACUUGAAUAUGAGCAAACAUGAUGAAGUAUGAUUGAACACCUUUAUAUUAGAACUUGAAUGUGAGCAAACAUGAUGAAGAAUGAUUAAACAUCUUUGUAUUAGAACUUGAAUAUGAGUGAACAUGAUUUAGAAUGAUUGAACACCUUCAUACUAAAACUUGAAUAUGAACAAACACGAUGAAAAAUGAUUGCAUCUUGAUACAACUAGAUCUUCAUGUUUGACCAUUUUUAUUACCAAAGUCUAUUAACUAUCUCACAUAUAAAACUACCCUGUGCAACAACCCUAUUCGUAGAAUCUUCAAACUUUUGUUUGUCAAACCUACUACACCCAUUCACCUGUCCCCCAUUCACAUGAAACAUACUUGACACUAACGAAGUAAGAUCCUAAGAAAUAUGAAAGGUUCACUUGGUCCCGCGAGAUCUUGAAAUACUUAUUUUAUCGCGUAACUAGCCUGCGAAAGAGAACUCGUUUCACGUGCUCUUUUCGAACCCGUGUGCAAAUCCGCAGGAAGUGAACGCGGUCGAGGGAAAUGUGUGUGUACGUGUAUCGAGUUUUGGCCGUGUUCCAAUCUACAUUUCUGAUCGUUUAAACGAGAAAAACUCGAGACAUCACAUGCUCGUUUUUUUUUUUCGAUAAAAUCGAUCUCUGAUAAGGAACUUUUGCCUGCAAUCGUCAUUCUUUUUAGAUAGAUCUUCUAAAAGAUAGGAAAUGUAGCGACGCACGGUACUUGAUAGACUUAAGCACAUUAAUUUUAUUCAUUAAUAUAAUGAUGACGUUAAUUCUAUAAAUAUGUGAAUACACCUACU